AGGAGGGAGGUGAUGUUGGGAGGGGGGUAUUCACAGGGCAGCGCUGUAGGUUUCUAGAGCUCCAGCUAGACCAGGUGACAGUGCGAGCAAGUGAAGAAACGGUCUCGGCAGCCUGGCCGGACCCAGAUCCUCAUGCUGCACUGCCGCACAGCAUCUGACGUCGAAGCGGGCGAGCGCACGAGGUGUUUGUCGGCUCUACUGCUAGCCACACUUCGCUCAAAUUGACCGUAUAUCGCCUCGCUUAAAUCGCCUUGCCACCGCCUACCUCGCCCUCUUCUCCCUGUCUCCUCUGUUUCUGACGCCGCGUCCCUCCAGCGCGAAGAGGAGAAGGGGAGGAGGAACCCGAGGAGGUGACAAGCUUAUCCAAGUAGAGGUCGAGCAAAGACACCGUAGGUCACAUCCCUGUGAUGCCUAUUUUACCACAAGUCAAAGCCAUUUUUUGAGACACGGAAAUUUACUUUACUUUACCCAGCGAGUGCAAAGCGGCUUUCCCCAAUAAACUCAUAUGUAACGCUCGGGAGCAUGUGGAAGGAAACGCAGCAAAAGAAACCAACAACGUGUAAGUAUGUAAAGUUUGAAAAUAAUGGACUUACCUCAGGUAGAGCUGAAGUAUGAGCAGCACAAGGAAGUUGAUUCGGUUCUAUGGAGUCGUUUUCCCUCGCACUUGCAUCGAGUAACGUGGCGCUCCGGCCGUAAGAAAGACACGCCUCCUGUUGGAUCGCAGGACUCACUGCUAAAAGUAAGAGUCAGGGAUUUCAGCCCAGACACGCACGUGGACAUCUGCAACGAGCGCGAGUUCCGUGCUGUGAUGCAGGCUGCUGAAGUCUGAGUCUGAAUCCUCCCAGUUCAAGCUGCAGGUUGGUGAAAUGUCAUGAUCUCUAUAGGAGACAAUGUACAGUAUGAUGCCCUUAAUGAAAUAGUAAUAUAAAUGGUCAGCAUGAAUUCCUUACAUGUAUACUGUACUUUAAAUCAUUUGGAGUGUAGCUAAAUUUUGAAUUAUGACAAGUGAAUCAAAACUUGCAGCUGAACAUAAAGCACAAGUAGGAUGUCACUGGGUGUUUGCUGCAGAGGAGCAGGUUGCUGAAAGAUUAAACCUGGAGACUGGGGAACCACUGAUUACUGUAGAUAGGAUGCAAUUUGAUAUGCAUUUGUGACAAGCUGUGUAGACUUACAGUAUACACAUGGAGUGUGGUUCAAAUAACUGCUAAAUGGUUCAUUAGUAGAUGGGUGUUAAGAUUGGAAACAGACCUCAGUUUGUUAGUUUGGGAUAUUUAUCAAUCAUUCAUCCAUAUCAUAUCAUAUCAAAAAUGAUCAUAUCCAUAUCAUAUCUUAUAAAAAAUGAAGUCCCUAUGAAGCCCCUUUUGCAUAAAGAGUAAAACACAGGGUAUAUUGUAAAUGUAAACACUGAGUGGCCAUUGUUGUGCAGGGAUCAGUUGAUAGAGUUGUAGAGUUGAAGAGGCAGUUUCUUUAUAACAAUGCACAGCAAAGCCUUUUAUUCAUAGCACUGUCAAGUUUAGUAGUAAUUCACUGUCAAGGUUUACAGUUUAAAUGCUACUGUAUCAUGAGACAAUU
Molecule: long non-coding RNA, 1572 nt
Filed under: Betta splendens (Siamese fighting fish)
Lineage: Eukaryota; Metazoa; Chordata; Actinopteri; Anabantiformes; Osphronemidae
Description: lncRNA (ENSBSLG00000011739.1)
Source: RNAcentral